Molecule: ribosomal RNA, 400 nt
Filed under: Leptobrachella eos (rainy toad)
Lineage: Eukaryota; Metazoa; Chordata; Amphibia; Anura; Megophryidae
Description: Leptolalax eos (rainy toad) partial 16S ribosomal RNA
Rfam family: Bacterial large subunit ribosomal RNA
Source: RNAcentral
UGAUCUCUAUAAAAGGUAACGCCUGCCCAGUGACUGCUCGUUAAACGGCCGCGGUACUCUGACCGUGCAAAGGUAGCGUAAUCACUUGUCUUUUAAAUAAAGACUAGUAUGAAUGGCAUCACGAGAACUAAUCUGUCUCCCUCCCCCAAUCAGUGAAACUGAUCUCCCCGUGCAGAAGCGGGGAUAAUAUCAUAAGACGAGAAGACCCUGUGGAGCUUCAAAUCAAAAAUCAACUGCUAUACUUCACCCAGAAAGGACACACCGCUAUGGAUUUGAUCUAGAUUUUUAGCUGGGGCGGCUGUGGAGAAAAAAGCAUCCUCCACGAAGACCUAUUCCAAGGGCUACUGCCCUAAGUAAUAAUAAAUUAGUUUAAUUGACCCAAUUUUUGAUCAACGAACCA